Molecule: ribosomal RNA, 404 nt
Filed under: uncultured bacterium
Lineage: Bacteria
Description: partial 16S ribosomal RNA
Rfam family: Bacterial small subunit ribosomal RNA
Source: RNAcentral
GACGAACGCUGGCGGCGUGCUUAACACAUGCAAGUCGAGCGGAGCGGCGAACGGGUGAGUAACGCGUGAGUAACUGCCCCCCUCUCUGGGAUAACAGUUGGAAACGGCUGCUCAUACCGGCUAGUGGGGGGGGACUCGCGUCCUAUCAGCUUGUUGGUGGGGUAGUGGCCUACCAAGGCGACGACGGGUAGCCGGCCUGAGAGGGCGACCGGCCACAUUGGGCGGAGAUACGGCCCAAAGUCCAACGGGAGGCAGCAGUGGAGAAUAGUGCACGAUGGGGGGAGCCCGGAUGCAGCAAUCCGCGGGCGGGAUGACGGCUUUCGGGUUGUAAGCCGCUUUCGGCCAUGAGGCGGUAGUGGCAGAAGAAGCAACGGCUAACUACGUGCCAGCAGCCGCGGUAAUAC